AAUGCAGGUGAGGAUCAGGUUGGCGCUGGUGACUGCUAACCAGCCUCUGGUAACGGGACAGAAGAGGGAGGAGAAGCAGCUUGAGGCAUCAUUAGAUGCACUGCUGAGUCAAGUGGCUGAUCUGAAGAACUCCCUGGGGAGUUUUAUUUACAAACUGGAGAACGAGUAUGACCGUCUGACCUGGCCCUCUGUCCUGGACAGUUUUGCCUUGCUGUCUGGACAGUUGAACACUCUGAACAAGGUCUUGAAGCAUGAGAAGACACCACUGUUCCGUAACCAGGUCAUCAUCCCUCUGGUGUUGUCCCCAGACCGAGACGAAGAUCUCAUGCGGCAGACUGAAGGACGAGUACCUGUUUUCAGCCAUGAGGUGGUUCCUGACCAUCUGAGAACAAAGCCUGACCCUGAGGUUGAAGAGCAAGAGAAGCAGCUGACAACGGAUGCUGCUCGCAUUGGUGCUGAUGCAGCUCAGAAGCAGAUUCAGAGCUUGAAUAAAAUGUGCUCAAACCUUCUGGAGAAAAUCAGCAAAGAGGAAAGAGAAUCAGAGAGUGGAGGUCUCCGACCGAACAAGCAGACCUUUAACCCAGCAGACACCAAUGCCUUAGUGGCAGCUGUUGCCUUUGGGAAGGGGCUAUCUAAUUGGAGGCCUUCAGGCAGCAGUGGUCCUGGCCAGCCAGGCCAGCCAGGAGCUGGGACAAUCCUUGCAGGAGCGUCAGGAUUACAGCCGGUGCAGAUGGCAGGCGCUCCAAGCCAGCAGCAGCCAAUGCUCAGUGGGGUGCAGAUGGCCCAAGCAGGUCAACCAGGGAAAAUGCCAAGUGGAAUAAAAACCAACAUCAAGUCGGCUUCAAUGCAUCCCUACCAGCGGUAUAUGCCUUCUUGCUUCCCCCCUUGUCUGUGAAAUGUUGAGACGAAACAUGCUGAGCACUCUACCUGGGUCAUCUUUCAUCUUCACAACAAUCCUGUGAGACAGGUCUUUGGAGUCAGGUGUGUCCCCAAAGCCACUUAAGUAUACCUGGAACACAUGAGGCUUUCAGUAAACAUUUAUUGACUCAACGGAUACUGCCACCCCAAGGGAAGUAGGAAGGCUUUUGAAUUCUUACUGUCUUCCGUGCUUGACUCUGGGUCCCUGGAUCUCUCUUGUCUUUCUUACAUUGUGUUAUUCACUCAGCAAACAUCGUGGAGGGUCAGGUGAGCCAGACAUUGGGACAGAUGCUAGAGACAGAUGACUAAAACUGGGUCCUGCUGAGAGGAACUUAUAGUUAGGAGAGGGGAGGAAUACAGAUAAUUGCAUUGCAGUAAGAUUGUGGGAGCAAAGUGAGGGAGUGAUUUGUUGCUUGGGAGAGCUGCUUGGUCUUUGUGUUGAGUUAGGGAACAAGGCUUGGUGGGUGGAGGGGAGGCUGAUAUCCUUGGGAAACAGUUCAAGCAUAAGAUGUGACCCAGGAGAGCAGCACAGGUAGAAUGCGAGGCUGAGGGCCAGAUCAGGUCGGCCUUAAUGUACAGCGCUAAGAAGUUUGAGCCUUUUGAAUGGUUGAAUUCUUUGGCCUUUUCCCUUCUAGGGUAGGCACUAAUAGUUUAGAUCAUGGCUGUACUUUGGUGCUGACCUCUUAACUCUAAGACUAAACUUCCACACCAUUGACAAACACAUUGCUUCUCCCAAACCACCACCCCUUCUGAAUUCCACAUGUACAUCAUAUAAUCCUGUAAGCAUUUACUGGAUCACUCUAUGCAAAGCACUGUUCUAGGAGCUGCUGGAGAUACAGAUUUCAUUUUGCUAAAACCUAGUCCUCACCAGUGAGUGUGUGCAACAGGGAGGGGAGAGUGCAGGAAGCCAGAUAGACAGUGAAGUAUACAGAGAGGGUCCAGCUGUCUCAGGGAAAUCUCCAGCGUCUGCUCCUCCAAUCCCAUCAAUUUCCAAACCUUCUUAGGUCGGGGUGCUCUCUUAUCUGGUCUCCCUCCAGUACCCUCAUCACACUGGCUGCCAGAAUGAAGUGAUUUGACCAGACAGUAAACCCCAUGCAAGGACAGCAUGUGCCUUGUUCAUUGAUGUGUCACCAGCAAUCAACUCCAUCUUGCACGUGGUAGGAUGUUGAUAAAUAUGUGAAGAGUAUUAGAUAAUACAGGCCUGACUAUAGCCUCCUGAAAACUCUUCACUGUUUCCCCUCUGCUUCCAAAAUAAAUCGAACUGCCCCAUUUGGCGUUCAAGACCUCCUACCUUCAGCCACAGUUGACUUCACUUCCCGCUCCUUUCACUACCUGGAAGGCCAGUGUAGCUGGUGAUUCACUAACUUCUGCUCCAGGCUACUUGUAUUCUCUCACCUCCACUCCACAAAAUCCUCCCAGCAACUCCUAAUGCUAGUCUUAUCCAAGUUUACAGGCUCGUAGGGAAGGCUUUCCUCCGCAACUGCUCCCUGGGGCUGAGACCUCUCAGCCUCACCUAGUCGGCGGCUCUCGCAGGCUGCCUCCAGCCCACCCCUCCCGUCCCACCCUCUAGAGAGGGAGCUCUUUGAGGGAAGGGCCGAGCCCUGGAACAUUUCCCAGGUUCCUAGGCUGCGUGGGCCGGCCACCAACAGAAGCUGUAUGGGUCGUGUUGGUGGAUUAACCCCCGGAGGCCCAGAAUGAGGCCAUCCAGGGGCGGAACGUCAGGAAGACGCAGGGUGCAACUCUGGCGGGCGGAGGCCAGGCCGCGCAAGCUGACCAGGCGGGCUGCGAUGCGGCGGGAAAGGGUGGGGAGCCUGGGCUGGGCA
Molecule: non-coding RNA, 2741 nt
Organism: Vicugna pacos (alpaca)
Lineage: Eukaryota; Metazoa; Chordata; Mammalia; Artiodactyla; Camelidae
Source: RefSeq, a predicted model, not a curated record